Molecule: ribosomal RNA, 374 nt
Filed under: uncultured bacterium
Lineage: Bacteria
Description: bacterial SSU rRNA
Rfam family: Bacterial small subunit ribosomal RNA
Source: RNAcentral
UACGUAGGGUGCGAGCGUUAAUCGGAAUUACUGGGCGUAAAGCGUGCGCAGGCGGUUCGUUAUGUCCGUUGUGAAAGCCCCGGGCUCAACCUGGGAAUGGCAAUGGAAACUGGCGGGCUAGAGUGUGGCAGAGGGGGGUGGAAUUCCGCGUGUAGCAGUGAAAUGCGUAGAGAUGCGGAGGAACACCGAUGGCGAAGGCAGCCCCCUGGGCUAGCACUGACGCUCAGGCACGAAAGCGUGGGGAGCAAACAGGAUUAGAUACCCUGGUAGUCCACGCCCUAAACGAUGAUCACUAGGUGUUGGCGGAGCAAUCUGCUGGUACCGUAGCUAACGCGUGAAGUGAUCCGCCUGGGGAGUACGGUCGCAAGAUUAAA